AACGCACAUUGCGCCCUCUGGUAUUCCGGAGGGCAUGCCUGUUCGAGCGUCAUUAUAACCACUCAAGCGCGGCUUGGUAUUGGGGUUCGCAUCUCGCGGCCCUUAAAAUCAGUGGCGGUGCCUGUCGGCUCUACGCGUAGUAAUACUCCUCGCGAUUGAGUCCGGCAGGUUGCUUGCCAACAACCCCCAAUUUUUACAGGUUGACCUCGGAUCAGGUAGGGAUACCCGCUGAACUUAA
RNAcentral lists this unclassified non-coding RNA (238 nucleotides) under uncultured fungus. Its description in RNAcentral is "partial contains 5.8S ribosomal RNA, internal transcribed spacer 2, and large subunit ribosomal RNA". The stretch from base 1 to 52 matches the Rfam family "5.8S ribosomal RNA", at positions 103 to 154 of the family's 154-position model. RNAcentral also lists the same sequence under 1 other name. Lineage: Eukaryota; Fungi. The record is from RNAcentral.